Long non-coding RNA from Tupaia belangeri chinensis (Chinese tree shrew), 684 nucleotides. RefSeq lists it as uncharacterized. The record is from RefSeq and is a predicted model, not a curated record. Lineage: Eukaryota; Metazoa; Chordata; Mammalia; Scandentia; Tupaiidae. The transcript is spliced from 4 exons.
GUCAACGUCUCCUAAGAUGCUGGUAGCUGUCAUUGGGCUGUUUUCCAAUCGUGUGUGUGGAACCAUUGUCUCACCUCAUUCUCAGCCAUCGCACCCCAGUGGGAUGAUGGAUUACAUGUUGUUAUCUCCACUCUCUGAAAUCUGCUUUUAAGAAGUAAAAAAAAAAUUGUAUGCAAAUGUUUGUAGGAAUUUUAUUAAUAAUCUGCAAAAAUGGGACAACCCAAAUGACCUUCGAAUGAUAAGUGGAUAAACAAAUCAUGGUAAAUCCAUAGGGUGGAAUACUAUUUAGCAAUAAAAAGGAAAAAAAAUAACUGAUGCAUGCAACAGUGUGUAUUCAUCUCAAGUGCGUUAUGCUAAAGAAAAAUGGUCAGCCACAAAACUUCCAUAAAUUCAGAAGAUACUCAGGAAAAGGCAAAACUAUAUGGACAGAAAACAAAUUAAUGCCAUUCACAGAAGGUCCCUUGGAUGGCCACGUGCCUUUGUCUUUUUGAAUUAUGGACUUAAUCUCUCCAUUUGGCGAAUUCAUUCAUGGGAUACCUUGGUAGAGACCUCCUUUUUCUCCAGUCAGGACCUUCCUUCCUCAUCUUGUCUGGCAGAGCAUGGAAAAAUCCUGGGGAAGAGCAGACCACCCAUCGAACCUGCCCACUGAGAAAAGAGCUAGAAGUUAGAAGAAUAAAAAAAGAU